UGGAGUAACACGUGGAUAACCUACCUAUAAGACUGGGAUAACUUCGGGAAACCGGAGCUAAUACCGGAUAAUAUUUUGAACCGCAUGGUUCAAAAGUGAAAGACGGUCUUGCUGUCACUUAUAGAUGGAUCCGCGCUGCAUUAGCUAGUUGGUAAGGUAACGGCUUACCAAGGCAACGAUGCAUAGCCGACCUGAGAGGGUGAUCGGCCACACUGGAACUGAGACACGGUCCAG
RNAcentral lists this ribosomal RNA (234 nucleotides) under uncultured Staphylococcus sp. RNAcentral describes it as "partial 16S ribosomal RNA". It matches the Rfam family "Bacterial small subunit ribosomal RNA", at positions 107 to 334 of the family's 1533-position model. The record is from RNAcentral. Lineage: Bacteria; Bacillati; Bacillota; Bacilli; Caryophanales; Staphylococcaceae.